AAGCUCGUAGUUGAAUUUCGGAAUUUGUCGGUUGGUCGGGCUUCACUGUCCGCACUGGCCUGAUAGAUUCCUACCUUCUGAAUAACCAGCAUGCUAUUAAUUUAGUGCGUUGGGGAAGCAGAGCUAUUACCUUGAAAAAAUUAGAGUGCUUAAAGCAGGCUUAUGCUUGAAUAGAUUAGCAUGGAAUAAUAAAAUAGGACGGCUUGGUUCUAUUUUGUUGGUUUCUAGGAUCACCGUAAUGAUUAAUAGGGAUAGUUGGG
Molecule: ribosomal RNA, 260 nt
Filed under: uncultured Glomus
Lineage: Eukaryota; Fungi; Glomeromycota; Glomeromycetes; Glomerales; Glomeraceae
Description: partial 18S ribosomal RNA
Rfam family: Eukaryotic small subunit ribosomal RNA
Source: RNAcentral